UUAAGUUCAGCGGGUAUCCCUACCUGAUCCGAGGUCAAGAGUGUAAAAAGUACUUUUGGACGUCGUCGUUAUGAGUGCAAAGCGCGAGAUGUACUGCGCUCCGAAAUCAAUACACCGGCUGCCAAUUGCUUUAAGGCGAGUCCACGCGUAUAAGCGGGACAAACACCCAACACAAGCAGAGCUUGAGGGUACAAAUGACG
This 200-nucleotide unclassified non-coding RNA is filed under the name Didymellaceae sp. RNAcentral's name for it is "partial internal transcribed spacer 2". Lineage: Eukaryota; Fungi; Ascomycota; Dothideomycetes; Pleosporales; Didymellaceae. The record is from RNAcentral.